Molecule: RNA transcript, 2442 nt
Organism: Vitis vinifera (wine grape)
Lineage: Eukaryota; Viridiplantae; Streptophyta; Magnoliopsida; Vitales; Vitaceae
Gene name: pentatricopeptide repeat-containing protein At4g11690
Exons: 2
Source: RefSeq, a predicted model, not a curated record
UUGAACUGAGGAGCUGUGGAAAAUGGCGCAAACUCAACAAGCUCUCAUUCUCCUUCCAAAAAUGGUGAAAAGUCCCCCACUCAAAGCUCUCUCACUCUUCACUUCCUCAGCUCUCCAAGGCUUCCAGCACACUCACCAAUCCAUAUCCUUUAUUCUACACCUCCUCAUCUCCUCCAACUUGUUUUCUCAUUCCCAGUCUCUUCUUCUCAAACUCAUCUCUGGUCAAAUCUCUUCUUCAUCUUUCACCCCCUCGUCGCUUUUCCAUGAGUUAACCCAACCCCACUUGGAUUCUUUUCCAACCCAUGUUCUUAUCCACGAAGCAAUCAUCAAUGCCCAUGUUCGAUCCCAAUUACCUGAACAAGCUCUCUUCUAUUUCAAUCAGAUGAUUGGUAGAGGUCUUGUACCCGGAUCAAAUACAUUUAAUAAUCUUCUGAUUCUGCUUAUAAAGUCUAAUUUUUUUGAAAAAGCUUGGCGGGUCUUUAAUGAGACCAAGGGCAAUGUUAAGUUGGAUGUCUAUAGUUUUGGAAUAAUGAUUAAGGGUUGUUGUGAGGUUGGAUAUUUGGAUAAGGGUUUUGAGGUUUUGGGUCAGAUGGAGGAGAUGGGUUUGUCCCCAAAUGUUGUUGUUUACACUACUUUGAUUGAUGGGUGUUGUAAGAAUGGUGAUAUUGAGCGGGGGAAGCAGUUGUUCUAUAAAAUGGGGGAGCUGGAUGUAGUUGCUAAUCAGUACACAUACACUGUAUUGAUCAAUGGGUUUUUCAAAAUGGGCCUUAAGAAAGAUGGGAUUGAGCUGUAUGAGAAGAUGAAGCUUACUGGGAUUGUUCCUAAUGUAUAUACUUACAAUUCCAUGAUUUGUAGAUGCUGCAAUGAUGGCAAAUUGAACAAUGCUUUUGAACUGUUUGAUGAAAUGCGUGAAAGAGGGGUAGCAUGUAACGUUGUGACGUAUAACACCUUAAUUGGUGGUCUUUGUCAAGAAAGGAGGGUUCUGGAGGCUGAAAGAUUGAUGUGUAGGAUGAAGAGGGAUGGCCUGAGUCCUAAUUUAAUUUCGUAUAACACAUUGAUUGAUGGGUAUUGCAGUAUUGGGAAUUUGGACAAGGCUUCAAGCUUAUUCAAUCAAAUGAAGUCAAGUGGUCAGUCUCCAUCUUUAGCUACUUAUAAUAUUCUAAUUGCGGGUUUUUCUGAAGCCAAAAACUCAGCCGGAGUAACUGAUAUGGUUAGAGAAAUGGAAGCAAGAGGCCUUUCCCCUUCUAAAGUCACAUAUACAAUUCUAAUGGACGCCCUUGUUCGAUCAGAUAACAUAGAGAAAGCAUUUCAGAUAUAUUCCUCUAUGGAGAAGGCUGGUUUGGUGGCAGAUAUUUACAUCUAUGGUGUGUUAAUACAUGGAUUGUGUGUGGUAGGUGAUAUGAAGGAAGCAUCAAAGCUGUUCAAGUCAUUGGACGAGAUGCAUUUGAAGCCAAAUGAUGUGAUAUAUAAUACGAUGAUUUAUGGGUAUUGCAAAGAGGGUAGCUCCUAUAGAGCCCUGAGAUUGCUUAAAGAAAUGGGUGAGAAUGGGAUGGUUCCAAAUGUUGCUAGCUAUAAUUCAACCAUACAAAUUCUUUGCAAGGAUGAGAAAUGGACAGAAGCAGAAGUUCUACUUAAAGAUAUGAUAGAGUUGGGUUUAAAGCCAUCCAUUUCUAUCUGGAAUAUGAUUUCUAAAGCCAGGUUUGAUAAUGUAUGAAGGGAGAUUUUGAAUUGCUUUCAUGUAGACUUGAAUGUAUAUAUUAGGGAAAAAAAUAAAUGGAGAAACAGAUGAGAAGAGGCUACAAUCAAAUUGCCUAAAUCUUCUGAUGUCCCUGCUUCUCUCUCAAGGGGUUGAUCAUUGCCUCAUUUUUAGGUGUUACUGAGCAGCUUAAUUAUGACUCCAGAAUUUGGCUCAUUGAGAAUGCAAAGAUGAUGUUUUAGCCCAUGUUCAGAGGAUGGACAGCCCAAUAUGACAUAGAAAACCUAAGAGCAGACUUGGAAAAAGGAGUGGUUCUAUAACUUCAAAUCUUAUUCAAAAUCUACCUGUUGGCAUGGAAGAAGCAGAUUGUUUUCAUGUCCUCCCAACCAUUGUCUCAAAUCUCUUGAGACUGAUGUCCAAGCCGAGGCACAGUAGAAGAGGGCAAGUGGCUUUGAAAGCAUCAUCAAAUUUGCUCAAUCCUUGCAAGUUCCUCAGGAGGAAAGGAGAUUCAUAGCUUGGGGUUUCAUCCAUCCCUUCUUAUGUCCAUUUGUGUUAUAUAGCUUAGCUGCGAAUGCAUAUAAAUUUGAUCACAUGCUAAAGAGGUGGGAUUAUUCAGAAUAGAGAAGAAAGUUACCAAGAUACCAUGAUAUGUAUUCUAAUCUAGGUUUUCCAAUGGUUGAAUUUGGAUCAAGCCCCACAUAACUGAAUAGUGUAAACUUUGAUUCAGAAAACAUUUCUUUGCAAGA